CUUUUUUAAAGAGCUUUUAAAGGGGAACAAUCCUGUCAUACAUGAUUUUUGCGAAACUUUAACCGUUUACGCAGCAUCAGCUCUCAAAAGGUAAAAAUUCAUUGAUUUGAAAUAUUCUUGAUUGGUGCUCCGCUCCUAUUGGUCUUAGCGUGAUGAUAAAUAGCCUAAAGCCUUCAGGAACUAACGGGCUAUCCAACACAAAAAGAAUUUUUCAAAUCGGUCCAGUAGUUCCUGAGAUUAGCGCGUUCAACCAAACAAACAAACAAACAAACUCUUCAGCUUUAUAAUAUUAGUAUAUUAUAAAUGUCUUCAUUAAAGUAAAUAUAUUAUGUAAUUUUAACAGAGGGACUUAUAUUAGGCUGUCUUUACAUAACUAAAUUAUUAUUUUAUAGCUCUAAUGUAAACUUUCAUCAAUCAUUCCUCCCUCCAAUCCAAUGACAUAUAAAAACAUCUUAAAGAUGACCUAAACUCUAUGCCUAAACUGAACUGUCCCACCAAACUCAUUGAUAAGGGGGCGCUACCGUCGUUCAACUAUAUAGUUUCCAACAUGGCAAAAAAUCGGAACCAGCGAUCCGGUAUUGACGGUGGCGCCCCGCUGCCAAUGUCAAGGUUUUAUUUCUAUCAUAUUUUUUUUACCACCAAAACUGUCAGAUGCUAUUUUUCAAAUAGCCCUAUCCUACUAUUUGAUACAAAAUCUAACGAAAUGAAUACUUUACAUUUCUUGUGGGCUGCCCACAGGGAAGAAUUGCGGAGAAGGCGGAAAAUGCGAGAAUUAGCCAGAAUAUAUGAAGAAAAUUUUGAAGACAUGCCAGAGCUUCUGUUCAGGCAACGUUACAGGCUUAACAAAGGCCAAUUUCAGGAGCUUUGUCAUAUAUUGAAACAGGAAACCUCUUUGCGGGGAAAUACAAUAAUUUCUCUGGAAUCCAAGAUGAGCUGCCUGCAGGAUCUGUUGCAACAGCCACUUUUCUGGAGCAUUUUAACAAUUUAUUUGAUUUACUUAAUGCGCAUGCAUUCACCAGACUGGCAAGAAGGGAAGCAAUCAGUGUGUAUAAUAUUAAUUAAAAGAUUUUGUUUAAUAGAGAACAGAAGGUUCUCCACUGAAUCUGCCUAGUAAAGGCUGCCAAAAAAAAAUAAAAAUAUUAAAAAAUUCAUA
Long non-coding RNA from Ostrinia nubilalis (European corn borer), 1153 nucleotides. RefSeq lists it as uncharacterized. The record is from RefSeq and is a predicted model, not a curated record. Lineage: Eukaryota; Metazoa; Arthropoda; Insecta; Lepidoptera; Crambidae. The transcript has 2 exons.